CUCCAGAUGUUGCUGAAAUACAACUCCCAUCAGCUCCAGCAAGCAUGGGAGUUGCAGUUUAGCAACAUCUGGAG
Podarcis lilfordi (Lilford's wall lizard) is the source of this 74-nucleotide non-coding RNA. Lineage: Eukaryota; Metazoa; Chordata; Lepidosauria; Squamata; Lacertidae. The record is from the annotation of a GenBank genome assembly.